CUGCUUGGUUCUAUAAGCAUUUAUACACUUUUUUAUGUGAAUUAUUAAUUUCCCAGUCCAGUCUAUGGGAAGACUGUCAAGAAUCUGGGUAGCAGUCACAGUGACAAUAAAAUCCUAUUCUGUGUCUGAGCCUCCAUGGUGGAAUUUCUGGCAAGGCCCCUCUCUCCCUCCCCUUAAGCAGGAUCCUGGCAUAGCUCAUCAGCUCUUCCUGAAGCAAAUACAGUUCUGCUGUAAACUCUGGGGUUAAUCUCUGCUCCAGCCAUAAAAGGUGUUAACAGCUGAAACCCUUCCUGCAGCUCACUCUGUAAGGAUGCUGCUGGGCACCAUCAUUCUUCCUGUUGCCGUGGGACCUCCUGUUGGACCAGUAAUUGCCCUUGCUUCCAUGGCCAUCUUAAGAACAGCUGAAGUGACAAAGGGUGCACCAGUAAAACUUUUCCUGUUUUCUUCUCCUCCAUUACUCAGAGGUUUCUGCUGUUUCUGCUGUUAAUUAAACUUUUAAGUUAGCCUACUAUUUUCUGGAAACACUUGAAAAAAAAAAAUCUCUUGGGAUGUAUCAGAGAUUUGAGAGGCAUGUUUCUACGUUGCCCCUCAAAGUAACCUUCUCUAGUCCCAGGUAGAGAGCAGGAACUUCAUCUCUUUCAUAUAUCAGUGUAUAUUUCCUCAUCUUUUAAAAAUGUCUGAAUUUCUCAUUAGACACACCAAAUUCUGUAGGACUAUUCUUUCUAAGUGGAGAGGAAAGACUGCCAGGUGCUCACAAAAGGAUUUGUUCUGGCUUUUCUCAGGAUGAAUUAUGUCAUGCUGUUGUAUCAAACAACCUGUUGUAUCAACCCUAAAAUCUCAGUGGCUUAAAACACAAGGUCAUUUUUUUCUCAUAUUACAUAUUCACAAGUAACUAUAUGGGAGUUCUUUAGAGGCUCAGACAGAUGAGGGGCUUUGUUAUCUCAUGCUGCCUCCAGCACUGUGAUGUUUAGGGUUUACUGCAGUAGUGGUAAAUACAGCUCUUAAACACGUCUGCUAGGAAGUAAUGCAUGUCACUCUGUUCACUUUCACUGGCCCAAAAAAGUCCUUGACCAAGAAUGCUAGUGAGGAGUUUCCAUUGGGACUCAGCAGGUUAAGGACCUGACAUUGUCUCUGUGAGGAGGCGGGUUUGAUCCCUGUCCUUUCUCAGUGCAUUAAGUAUCCAGCAUUGCCACAAGCUGUAGUGUAGGUCACAGAUGCUGCUCAGAGCCAGUGUUUCCGUGGCUGUGGUGUAGGCUGGCAGCUGCAAUUCCAAAUCAACCUCUUUCCCAGGAACUUCCAUAUGUCGCACUGUGGCCCUUAAAAAAAAGAAACAACGUUUAAAAAAAAAAUGCUGGUGACAUUGACCAUUUCUUUCAAGGGAGCCUAAGGAAACUGCAAUCAAUAGGCAUGAGCCCUGGAACCAAAUGAUGCUCUUGCAGGGUUAAGCCAUGUGGGAAACCCUCUAAGGGAGUGAAAUUCCUUGGGAGUGGCUGGAGUGGUAGAAGGAAGCUUGUGGGGCCACUCUGCUGUGCCUAUCUUACCUUCUGCCACUAUCAAGGGCUUACUGGAGAUGGUGGGGAUCCUUGUGGCCUGUGAGGGCCUGCUUGCUGCACCUGCUUGGUGAGCACCCUCCAUCUGCCUAUUGGAAGGAUAGCACUCUCUGUAUGUUUGAAGCAAGAGUCUGCAGUGAACAUGAAACUAAUCCAACAGCCACUGAGACAGAGACUUGGUAAGAGGGGCUUGAUGUAUCUAAAACUUGGUUAGAGUAAAACAAGAACAUAGGAAAAAUGAGACAUUUUAAAUGGUAUAAGAUUUUUAACCAUUGCCUUAUACUUCACUAAACAUUUGUUUACAUACUAUCUCUUUUGGUCUUGGAAAGUAUAUUAAUCAAUUUCAGCCUCCUUGCCUGUUUUAUGUCCUUGGCACUUACCACAUCUAACAUUCUAAGUCUUUUGCCUGUUUAUUUUAAUUGUCUGUCUUACCCACUAGAAUUGAACCUCCUUGAGGCUAUUUUUUGCCAACUGUUAAAUCCUCAGAACUGAGAACAGUACCUGGCAUAGACAAGGUCCUCAUCAAAUAUUUAUUAAAUACAUGGGUAAGUAGUAGUAAUUCAUCUUGAGGCUAGUUUCAUAGCACAAAGAUGCGUGGUGAUGCCUUACAACAUUGCCUUAUUACCUUCUUCUGUGUUAAUUUUGCUAAUUAGAGAAAAAAGUUUCCUGAUUGAUUUUUAUUCAACAUUCAAUAUGGAAUACAUUUUGAGCACUAACAGAAUGCCAGGCAUUUUAUAUACCAGUGAAUAAAACAAAGAUCCUUGACUUCAUAAAGCUUCAUAUUCCCAGGGGUAGAGUGGAAGGAGACAGUCAAUGAAGUUAACAAAUAACGUAACCUUUUGGGGAGUGAUUAAUACCAUGAAAUAAAAAAGAGGAGGUGAAGGGAAUUGGAAGUGCCAGUGAUGGGCAGAGUGAGGAAGGAGCAGAGCAUUAAUUUGGGUGGUGAGGGGAAGCCCCAUUAACUAGGUGAGAUUCAGUUAUGAACUUGAAAGAGGUAAAAGAAUGGACAUUUUUAGUGGAAGUGGUGGAGCAUGGUAGGGUGUCUAAGGGAGAGAAGACAGCUGGGGCUCAGGCUGAGCAGGAGGUUUGAACAUGUAAGGAGGCCAGAGUGGCUGAUGCUGAGAGAAUGAAAGGGAAAAGCCAGAGGAGAUGGAGUUAGAUUUGGGGUGAGUCAGAUAAGUCCUCAGAAGCCACUGAAAGGACAUGUGCUCUUGCUUGUAGUGAGAGGGGUGCCUUGGGAGGAUUUUGAAUAGAAGAAAGACAUGAUUUGACAGAGGUGAUUAUCCCCCUGGCGACAGUACUGAGGAUGAGUCCUAGGGCAGGAAGUCUAGAAGUCUUCCAGCUUGUGUGAGGCCACAGCUGAGUCCAUGCUAAAGGAUAUGUUGGCUUGAAGGAGGUGACAGUGAGAGUGGAGGUAGUAGAAAAUGGUCUGAUACUGCAAACUCUUUCCAAAUUCCUGUCUGCUGACUGCUUUCUGUCUGCUUAAUUGAUAGGGGCACAUUUAGGCACAUUGGGAAGUCACUGGAGUCUGUCUUCCAUACCCAGACUCUUUCCUUGCCACACCUUCCUCUGCUAAGAAUGUUCCUCUCUUCUGAGUGUCUUGUGUCUCUUUGCACUUCCUUCUGUAUCAAACAACACUACUUAUUUAUUGAAGAAUUGUGGUUUGAAAUUGAUUUGCAUUUCUAGCCUUUACUACUUUAUUGUUUAAUGCAAAAUAUGUGUUCUCCCUUUUCAAUGAACUUUAUGCAUCAUUAGUAUGAAAAGACAUGUUUGCUUUGGAGCCCAUCUGCCUUGGUUUUUAUCAGCUAAUGCUUCUUACCCUUUAAAUUUGGUUCCUAAAUCACAAUUACUGCUCCAUAGAUGGACCUGGAAAAAACCCUAAUUUCCUAUUUAUAUUGUGAUGGGAAAAAGGUCAGAAGAAUAAGCCUAAGCUGAUAAGUUUUCCUGAGCUGAUAGCCUGGACCAGGGCAGUUUGAGGCUGGAUGUUGCUGCUCUCAGAGAAGAAGGGACUCUUGCCAUUGGUCAGAAGAUCCUUCCCUUUCAACCACUCUGAUUUCCAGCCCUGAUUUCCCCUUUCCAAAUCUCUCUCCUUUCUUUUCCCUCCUUCUCACUUACCAGAUCAAAAAUAAAACUCAAAGUUUUCUUAUUGUCUUAUGCUGAACACAUUAACUGCCUCUGAUACUUUUAGAGCCUCACUUUCUCACAGAGAGGUUUUUUUUUUUUUUCCAAGCAAGCUAGUUUCUUCACAAAGAAGGAUUCUGAUGCCAGGUGUUACCAUAAUAAUUUUUUAUAAUCUCAUUACAUGUAUCACCUAACAUGAAAUAAUCUCCUUCCCUUCCUGACCCAGAAACUAGGAGUCUUACCUAAGUUCAUAAAAUUAUUCAGUAGCAGAAUUAACAUAGGAAUUCCUCUCUGCCUUCAGGUGCCUUCAGUUUGGAACAUGCUCUCUGAAAGCCAAAGAUUCACAAGUCAUGUUUGUGGUUCACAGUCAGGUGAUGAUAAAGCUAAGACAGGAAAGUGACCAGAGUUUGAAGGUAUGUUGCUGAGAUUUGAAGAGGCAUGGUGAGUAAAUACCAGCGUCUGUUCAACUAGUGCUGGGAAAUGAGACUCAUUCAAAUGUGCUACUUUUUUUUAAGUGCAGCAGUCCCUUCUUUAUUUGGCAAAACCAAGUGGGACCAAAUGCAAACCUCUAAGGAAUUUAUAUACUGUGAUGAAAUAAUAUCUCACUCCCAAUUUCUUUGACAGAUGACCCAAAUUUUACUUCUCCUAGGACUAGACAGGUGUAUCUUUGAGACAUUUUGAGUUCAGUUCCAGACCACUGCAAUAAAGCAAGUCCAAUUUUUGGCUUCCCAGUACAUUUAAAAUUAUGUUUAUACUAUAGUGUUGUAUAUUAUGUGUGCAAUAUGUGUAAAAAAAUGUACAUACCUUAAUUUUAAAAUGCAAUGCUAAUCAUCAUCUAGGCUUUUGGUGAGUCUUAAACUGUUUGCUGAUGGAAGGUCUUGUCUCCCAUGUUGAUGGCUGCUGACUGAUCAGGGUGGUAGUUGCUGGAGGUUGCAGUGGCUGUGGAAAUUUCUUUAAAUAAGACAGCAAUGAAUAUUGCUUCAUUAGUUGACUCUUCCUUUCAUAAAUGAGUUCUUUGCACCAUGCAAUGCUAUUUGAUAGCAUUUUACCCAUAGUAGUAAUUUCCAAUAUUGGAGUCAAUCCUCUCAAGCCUUAUCACUGAGUUUGUGUAAUACUCUAAAUCCUUCAUCAUUUCAACAAUCUUCACAACAUCUUCACCAGGAAUAGAUUCCAUCUCAAGAAAUCACUUUCUUUGCUCAUCCAUAAGAAGCAAUUCACCCAUUAAAGUUUUUUGUGAGAUUGCAGUUUAGUCAAAUCUUCAGGCUCUGCCUAGAAUUCCCUUGCUAUCUCUACCACAUCUAUAUUUACCUCCUCCAAUGAAGUCUUAAAUGCCUCAAAGUCAUCCAUGAGUGAUAGUCUCCUUCUUACAAACUCCUUUAAAUGUUCAUAUUUUGACCUCUUCCUAGGAAUCAUAAAUGUUCUUAAAGGGCAUCUAGAAUGGUGAAUCCUUUCUCAAAGGCUUUUAAUUGACUUUUUUCAGAUCCAUCAAAGGAAUCACUGAGAGUUAUAGCCUUAAAAAUAGACAUUAGUAGUUGCUGUUGUGGCUCAGCAGAACCUGACUACUAUCCAUGAGGAUGCAGGUUCAAUCCCUGACCUCUCUCAGUGGGUUAAGGAUAUGGCAUUGCCUUGAGCUGUGAUGUAGGUUGCAGACAUGGCUAGGAUCCUAAGUUGAGGUGGCUGUGGUGUAGGCCAGCAACUACAGCUCCAAUUUGGUCCCUAUCCUAGGAACUUCCAUGUGCCAUGGGCGCAG
This 5421-nucleotide long non-coding RNA is filed under the name Sus scrofa (pig). RNAcentral describes it as "lncRNA (ENSSSCG00040006149.1)". The record is from RNAcentral. Lineage: Eukaryota; Metazoa; Chordata; Mammalia; Artiodactyla; Suidae.